RNAcentral lists this ribosomal RNA (253 nucleotides) under uncultured bacterium. Its description in RNAcentral is "partial 16S ribosomal RNA". It matches the Rfam family "Bacterial small subunit ribosomal RNA", at positions 524 to 776 of the family's 1533-position model. The record is from RNAcentral.
UACGUAGGGUGCGAGCGUUAAUCGGAAUUACUGGGCGUAAAGCGUGCGCAGGCGGUUGUGCAAGACAGAGGUGAAAUCCCCGGGCUUAACCUGGGAAUGGCCUUUGUGACUGCACGGCUAGAGUGUGUCAGAGGGGGGUAGAAUUCCACGUGUAGCAGUGAAAUGCGUAGAGAUGUGGAGGAAUACCGAUGGCGAAGGCAGCCCCCUGGGAUAACACUGACGCUCAGGCACGAAAGCGUGGGGAGCAAACGGG